UGGUCUAAUACUUCAUAAUAUCCAUCUCGUAUGGAUUAAAGCUUUAUGCGCUUUGGGAGGGGCCUGCGUAACAUUAGCUAGUUGGUGAGGUAAAAGCUCACCAAGGCUUCGAUGUUUAACUGGUUUGAGAGGAUGACCAGUCACACUGGGACUGAGAUACGGCCCAGACUCCUACGGGAGGCAGCAGUAAGGAAUCUUCCACAAUGGGGCAACCCUGAUGGAGCAAUACCGCGUGCAGGAUGAAGCGUUUCGGCGUGUAAACUGCUUUUAUCACCGAAGAUUAUGACUGUAGGUGAAGAAUAAGGACCGGCUAACUACGUG
This 321-nucleotide ribosomal RNA is filed under the name uncultured bacterium. Its description in RNAcentral is "bacterial SSU rRNA". It matches the Rfam family "Bacterial small subunit ribosomal RNA", at positions 159 to 507 of the family's 1533-position model. The record is from RNAcentral.